Molecule: long non-coding RNA, 1820 nt
Organism: Amaranthus tricolor (Joseph's coat)
Lineage: Eukaryota; Viridiplantae; Streptophyta; Magnoliopsida; Caryophyllales; Amaranthaceae
Exons: 3
Source: RefSeq, a predicted model, not a curated record
GUUUUAACUUUUAAUAUCUUGAGUGUCUUUUCCGAUGACCUUCAACUCGAGGUUUGCUUGGGUAAAUAAUGAUUUUGUACUUCAACUCCAGAGAUUUCAUAGGCAACAAAAUCAUAAUUCACAAUUCCUGAUCCUGCAGAAGUAAUUUGUACUUGUUACAGUCUUACAAUGGCGGAAAAUGCCCGUAUGGGAAGUGUAAAGAAGAGAUGAUACUCCCUCAAAACUUAUCGCCAUUUCAUAUUUCUUGUUAAUGGCGACGAUUCGAUGUAUAGCCAGUUUUAGAAAGCCGAUGUAAACAGUAAAUCCAUUUUCUCUUGUCGAAGACUUACGGGGUACUGUAUUCAUUCACUGUCGCUGUUAGUGACGACUGACGACUGACGACCACUUUGAGACCAAAAGCCACAUAAAUCGAUUACAGUGUAGGCUGAGGGAAGAGGAGGGGCAAACUGAGUAGCGAAUCUAGGACCUUGUCUAAGCAAGCAGUGCCAGUACUUGAUUCAACUGAGACGAGACCGAAUUCUCGAAUUAUUUGGUUUCUUAAAAGCAAGUAAGGUGGUAGAGGAUUAUGGGUUGAGAGUUUUUUUAGAGGCUCCUGUUUUUGAGCUCAUUUGUUGGCUGUUUAGCCUUUUCCUGCAAUGAUUUUUUUAAAAAAAUAGUUUUUUGAGUUUAUUACCACUCUCAAUAAAGAUGAAGAGAAUGCCUUUUAGAGUCCAGUGUAUAUGAACUACUGGGGAGGUUUGACUUGCUUUUUCGAAUGUUUCACCGUAUCUUCCUGCAAGGUAGCAAAGGAGGGCUGGAGAGGGAUCCACCAGGGGUCUUCCUCUGAUGAUUAAGUCGGUAAGGGUUUUGAGAUGAUUGCUGAUAAAGCUUAUAAAGAAUUAGAGCUAUUUUUGUACGAGAGAAUAAUGCUUGAGUUUCAGUGUAAAAGUUACGUUACCCUUGGUGAUGUAUGACACUAUAUGUUUAUAGUGGUGGGCCUUAGGAGAGGUUUCCAAAACCCUAAUGGCAGUUUAGGCUUUUACCUUAAAUGAAAUCUUUUUCGGGAUCAGUGAAAAGAGAAAUAGAAUAUUUUGUAAGCUUAUGUGGCGUUUGGUGAUUUGCUAAUCCUUACACCAUGGUCUCCACUCUCUGUCUUUUAGUUAGGUGUGGUGUCUUGCCUUGAUGAUUGUCAUUAAAAAAUUUCUAUAAAACUUUUAUAAAUUUUAAAUUUUCUUAAAAAAUUGAUCAAUAUAGUUUUAAAACUUUAACUAUUAAAUAUUGACUUAAAACACAAAAAUAAAGCUCACAAAUAAAAAGUGAUAAUGUAGAACUGCAAAUAUACGUAAAUUUAAAAAGGACAAAACUGUCACAUUUGACGUCUUUUAAGGAACGAGCACUUUUUGAAUCACGAGUCAAAAUUCAUGAAUUAUGACCCACUAAUUUUCGAUCAGUUAAACAAUAAUAUGAGAACAAAUUUUUUUUUGCCAUCAUUUUAGACUUAAAAAAUAUUUCAACAUUAUUUGGGAAAAAUUACUCUUAGCAACAAUCUCUCCACCAAAACAUGUGAAUAUCUUUUUUUUUUAUUAUUAUUUUCACUAAGACUUUAUUAUACAACAGCUAGUACGAAGUACUUGGUUAAACUUGAAACUAUCCUUAUCAAAAACAGCUCAUUCAAGACUAAGCAAGAAAUUAGAUAACUCAUAUCUAUCUAUUGGGAGCAAAAGGGAAGUAGACCCAAUCAACCAUAUAUCUUCACUAGUUGCCAUUCCCCAUUUUAUCUCACACAACUCAUAAUUUUAACUAUUAAUAAUUUUAAAAUAAAUAAUAAUAAUUAAAUAAAA